AGAGUUUGAUCCUGGCUCAGAACGAACGUUGGCGGCGUGGAUUAGGCAUGCAAGUCGAACGCGAAAGGGUAGCAAUACCCGAGUAAAGUGGCGAACGGGUGAGUAACGCGUAGGAAACCUGCCUUCGAGUGGGGGAUAACACUCCUAACGGGGUGCUAAUACCGCAUGAAACUAAGGGGUCGCAUGGCCCCAUAGUCAAAGGUGGCCUCUAUUUAUAAGCUACCGCUCAAAGAUGGUCCUGCGUCCCAUUAGCUAGUUGGUGAGGUAACGGCUCACCAAGGCUUCGAUGGGUAGCCGAUCUGAGAGGAUGACCGGCCACACUGGGACUGAGAUACGGCCCAGACUCCUACGGGAGGCAGCAGUCGAGAGGCUUCGGCAAUGGGGGAAACCCUGACCGAGCGACGCCGCGUGGAGGAUGAAGGCCUUUGGGUUGUAAACUCCUGUCAUGUGGGAAGAAACGCUACCGUUCGAAUAGGGCGGUAGUUUGACGGUACCACAAGAGAGU
RNAcentral lists this ribosomal RNA (505 nucleotides) under uncultured Isosphaera sp. Its description in RNAcentral is "bacterial SSU rRNA". It matches the Rfam family "Bacterial small subunit ribosomal RNA", at positions 8 to 489 of the family's 1533-position model. The record is from RNAcentral. Lineage: Bacteria; Pseudomonadati; Planctomycetota; Planctomycetia; Isosphaerales; Isosphaeraceae.